GAUGAACGCUGGCGGCGUGCCUAAUACAUGCAAGUCGAGCGAACAGACGAGGAGCUUGCUCCUCUGACGUUAGCGGCGGACGGGUGAGUAACACGUGGAUAACCUACCUAUAAGACUGGGAUAACUUCGGGAAACCGGAGCUAAUACCGGAUAAUAUAUUGAACCGCAUGGUUCAAUAGUGAAAGACGGUUUUGCUGUCACUUAUAGAUGGAUCCGCGCCGCAUUAGCUAGUUGGUAAGGUAACGGCUUACCAAGGCAACGAUGCGUAGCCGACCUGAGAGGGUGAUCGGCCACACUGGAACUGGGACACGGUCCAGACUCCUACGGGAGGCAGCAGUAGGGUAUCGUCGGCAAUGGUCGAAAGCCUUACAGAGCAACGCCGCGUGAGUGAUGAAGGUGUUCGGAUCGUAAAACUCUGUUAUGAGGGAAGAACAAAUGUGUAAGUAACUAUGCACGUCUUGACGGUACCUAAUCAGAAAGCCACGGCUAACUACGUG
This 497-nucleotide ribosomal RNA is filed under the name uncultured bacterium. RNAcentral's name for it is "partial 16S ribosomal RNA". It matches the Rfam family "Bacterial small subunit ribosomal RNA", at positions 28 to 507 of the family's 1533-position model. The record is from RNAcentral.